RNAcentral lists this transfer RNA (91 nucleotides) under Actinoplanes philippinensis. It matches the Rfam family "tRNA". Rfam says of the family: Transfer RNA (tRNA) molecules are approximately 80 nucleotides in length. Lineage: Bacteria; Bacillati; Actinomycetota; Actinomycetes; Micromonosporales; Micromonosporaceae. The record is from Rfam by way of RNAcentral.
GGAGAGCUGGCCGAGUGGCCGAAGGCGCCGGAUUGCUAAUCCGGAGCAGGGGUAAUGACUCUUGCCGGGAGUUCGAAUCUCCCGCUCUCCG